Molecule: long non-coding RNA, 1715 nt
Organism: Bradysia coprophila
Lineage: Eukaryota; Metazoa; Arthropoda; Insecta; Diptera; Sciaridae
Source: RefSeq, a predicted model, not a curated record
ACUAGAAGGUGAAUAGUGACUAUAUGCACGCUGAUCAAUCGCUAAUCUUCAUUAGUUCCAAGUGAUCUGUGCUAGAGUAAAGUUCUCUUGUUCUGUGCUGUAUAGUUGAACAGUGAAUAGUGUGAUCUUUUUGUUGAACAUUUUGAUAAAAUCAAGAAAUUUUAAAAGAUAAAAUAUAAAUUGAAAUCGACCACCCAACAUGUUCUCCAGAAAUGCAAUAAUGACUGUAUUAGUCAUGCUAUCCAUAGCAUUUCUACAUACGACAUCGACGGUGAAUGGCCUUGCUCUCUCGAACGAAGGAAACAUCAAUGAUGUCCAGGCAACAAAUUAUACGAUCGGACAUGACGCCGUUAUCAUGCAUUCACUUCUUGGCGACAUACAAAUACCGAUACCAGAGGAUAUUAAAACCGAACUAAACAGACGUAAAAAUGAAGGAAAAACGUUUGAGAGGCUGACUCUAUUCGGAGAGAGUGAAUUCAACCAUAACUACCCGUCAAGUAGACAAACGGAUUUCUUUGAAUGCAUGGAAAAAUCGAAUGCAGUUCUAGCGGCGCACACUGAAAGCUAUCAAAGUUGGUCAAUAUUUUUCAAACGUAACAAAUUCAGCGAUACAAUGGCAGUUCGCUACUGUUGCAACUUAUUGGAAUAUGCGGAAAUUCUUCAACAGCAGUUGCCACUAGAAUGCCAAAGCCAGAUCCGCUUUCAAGAUAAACUCAUGGUAGAUCCACAAAUUCGUGCAACGUGUCGCCAGUACGAUAUCCAUACCGUGGAAUGCUUUUUAGUCAGUUGGAUGUAUUGGUGGAUACCAAUUGUCUCAUUGAUCCUAAUUAUGUUAAUUUUAAUGUGCGUGUGUUGUGCAAUGAAACGUAGCCGUAGUAGAGCUUAUUUGAAGACUAGAGAAGAGGACAAACGGUUUAGAACGUCACUAGUUAACGGCACCGCAAUAUAGAACGUUUUUUUCUACUUCGGUAAGUAGUGUUGAUGUUUCUAUAUAAUUGUUCGAUUCCGAACAGAACCCUUUUUUCGGAAAAAUUCGGAAAAAAUUCGGAAAAUUUCGAAAAAUUCGGAAAAAGUUCCGAAAAAUUUAUAAAAUAUUUUGGAUUUUUUGAAACGUUCUCAGUAUUUUUCUGGAAAUUUUCAGAAUUUUUCGGAAUUAAAAUUCCCAAAAAUCGGCCCUGCUCCGAAACGAGACCACAAACGUCUAAGUGCAGUGCAAUGACAUCAUCACUCAUUUAGUCAAUUUAAAUUUUAUUCAAAUUUUGUUAUACUCAACGUAAACAAGAAUCUCUUUCUCUAUAAUGUAAUUAGUCUUUAUCUCCAACAUAAAUUUUCGGAGGUUUCAACUCUUAUAAAAUAUAUAGCAAUACGCCAGACCGACCAGCUGUUAUUUAGCUGGGAAAAAGCCUCGAUUAGAUCAACAUCAUACACACACAAUGUACGUUACAAUGGAUCUGAUUGAUCUUCAAGACUGAUUAUUAAGCACAAAACGAAAAAUUUAGUUUUUGUUUACAAACCAAAUUUUUAUUUGUCGUUAGGAUAUUAUAGUAACCUGAAUAAUAAGUACCUCUCUACACUCCCAUUCCAUCUGAAUUUUAAAACUUAAGAGUUAUUAGAGAUAAGAAUUUAAAUAUAUUUUUUUAACUGUAAAUGUUGGAAUGUAUCUAAAACCAAAAACAAUAAACAAACAAAUUAUAGUUACCACACAUACAACAUGA